Gastrolobium bilobum is the source of this 935-nucleotide long non-coding RNA. RefSeq lists it as uncharacterized. The transcript is spliced from 3 exons. NCBI's taxonomy places the organism in Eukaryota, Viridiplantae, Streptophyta, Magnoliopsida, Fabales, Fabaceae. The record is from RefSeq and is a predicted model, not a curated record.
CUUUCACAAAAAGUUGAGACUCAUAUUUUUAUUUUUUUUAUCCACUCUCUUAUUUGAUCUAUUUAUUUCUUUAAGAUAAAAAUGACACAAACUUUAUAUCUUUUAAAUUGACACUUUUUUCUUAAAAUAUAUGGGAUAGGAUAUUGUGACAUCCAAGUGAUGUUACACCCAUGUGACAUCCAGUCAAUCUCACCGUUAAAUUAGGUUUUUAAUCUAACGAUCCAGAUUUAAUCCUUAUAUACACCUUCACUUCCGCUUCUCUCUCUCUCCUUUCUCUCUGAUCAUACUCUCUCUUUUCCCUUCUCUCUCAUCAAACUCUCUCUCUUCCUUUCUCUAUUCCCUUUCUCUCUGAUCCGUCGCCGCCGCCGCGCCUCCCCCUCUGAUCCCGCGCCGCCCGACUCCACCGCCUUGCAGCUGCCGUUCCAAACUUGUGGAGCGAAUCAGAGAUGGUCACGUACAGCUGAAUUUUCUCUCCCAAAUUUGAUGGUCACGUGUGUGUAUUAAAACUAUUUUGUCUUUACAGGAAUGUGAUUAUCUCAGGGUACCAAAACUGGAAAGAAACUUUGUGCAUCUGGUAAAGUAAGUCUGACCUUUCUGUGAAAAUUUUCAAGGUGCACUUCAGCCUUGCUGAGAACAGCCGGUGUCUUUGCUGAAACUGCAUGGGCAGGUAUAUUAUGGAUGACCAUUCGGACUACAAUGACUUAAAUGAUGAAAUUAGGAAUGACAUGCCUGGUGGGAUUGAAGAAGCAUCAAAGAAUGCUAAUAUUUGUGGAAAUUGCAAGAAACGAGGACAUAAUAAGCGUAUAUGUAGAGAGAAAAAUUUACAUUGACUUUAGUUGUUGUUUUUUUUUUAUUUUGGGUUACAUGACAUUUGCUACAUGAUUAUCAUUUAAUUUAUUAUUUCUUUUAGUUGCUAUAAGACAUAUUGUAUCGUU